AGUCAUAUGCUUGUCUCAAAGAUUAAGCCAUGCAUGUCUAAGUACGGCUCUAGUACGGUGAAACUGCGAAUGGCUCAUUAAAUCAGUUUUGGUUCAUUUGAUCGUGAAAGUUACAUGGAUAACUGUUGUAAUUCAAGAGCUAAUACACGCUAAGAGUGUCGCUCUCUGGGCGGCGCGCUUUUAUCAGACCAAAACCAAUCACCUUCGGGUGUUCAUUGUGGUGAGUCUGGAUAAACUAGCUGAUCGCAUGGUCUCGAACCGGCGAUGGAUCAUUCAAGUGUCUGACCUAUCAACUGUCGAUGGUAGCGUAUUGGGCUACCAUGGUUGUAACGGGUAACGGAGAAUUAGGGUUUGGUUCCGGAGAGGGAGUCUGAGAAACGGCUACCACAUCUAAGGAAGGCAGCAGGCGCGCAAAUUACCCAUUCCCGACUCGGGGAGGUAGUGACGAAAAAUAACAAUUCAAGACUCUUAACGAGGCCUUGAAGUUGGAAUGAGUACACUUUAAAACUUUUAACGAGUAACUAU
RNAcentral lists this ribosomal RNA (525 nucleotides) under uncultured eukaryote. RNAcentral describes it as "SSU rRNA". It matches the Rfam family "Eukaryotic small subunit ribosomal RNA", at positions 22 to 548 of the family's 1831-position model. The record is from RNAcentral.